RNAcentral lists this ribosomal RNA (254 nucleotides) under uncultured bacterium. RNAcentral describes it as "partial 16S ribosomal RNA". It matches the Rfam family "Bacterial small subunit ribosomal RNA", at positions 524 to 776 of the family's 1533-position model. The record is from RNAcentral.
UACGAAGGGGGCUAGCGUUGCUCGGAAUCACUGGGCGUAAAGGGUGCGUAGGCGGGUCUUUUAAGUCAGGGGUGAAAUCCUGGAGCUCAACUCCAGAACUGCCUUUGAUACUGAGGAUCUUGAGUUCGGGAGAGGUGAGUGGAACUGCGAGUGUAGAGGUGAAAUUCGUAGAUAUUCGCAAGAACACCAGUGGCGAAGGCGGCUCACUGGCCCGAUACUGACGCUGAGGCACGAAAGCGUGGGGAGCAAGCAGG